RNAcentral lists this transfer RNA (73 nucleotides) under Microgenomates group bacterium RIFCSPHIGHO2_01_FULL_45_11. RNAcentral's name for it is "tRNA-Val". It matches the Rfam family "tRNA". From Rfam's summary of the family: Transfer RNA (tRNA) molecules are approximately 80 nucleotides in length. Their secondary structure includes four short double-helical elements and three loops (D, anti-codon, and T loops). The record is from RNAcentral. RNAcentral also lists the same sequence under 1 other name.
GGUCGCUUAGCUCAGCUGGUAGAGCGUUGCAUUCACAUUGCAAAGGUCGAAGGUUCGAGCCCUUCAGCGACCA